GACGUAGGGCGCGAGCGUUGUCCGGAUUUAUUGGGCGUAAAGAGCUCGUAGGCGGCUUGUCGCGUCGACUGUGAAAUCCCGCGGCUCAACUGCGGGUCUGCAGUCGAUACGGGCAGGCUAGAGUGUGGUAGGGGAGACUGGAAUUCCUGGUGUAGCGGUGAAAUGCGCAGAUAUCAGGAGGAACACCGAUGGCGAAGGCAGGUCUCUGGGCCACUACUGACGCUGAGAAGCGAAAGCAUGGGGAGCGAACAGG
This 253-nucleotide ribosomal RNA is filed under the name uncultured bacterium. Its description in RNAcentral is "partial 16S ribosomal RNA". It matches the Rfam family "Bacterial small subunit ribosomal RNA", at positions 524 to 776 of the family's 1533-position model. The record is from RNAcentral.